This 524-nucleotide ribosomal RNA is filed under the name uncultured bacterium. RNAcentral describes it as "partial 16S ribosomal RNA". It matches the Rfam family "Bacterial small subunit ribosomal RNA", at positions 28 to 523 of the family's 1533-position model. The record is from RNAcentral.
GACGAACGCUGGCGGCGUGCCUAAUACAUGCAAGUCGAACGAAGCUUUUUUAACUGGUGCUUGCACCGACUUAAACAACUGAGUGGCGAACGGGUGAGUAACACGUGGGUAACCUGCCCCAAAGCGGGGGAUAACAUUUGGAAACAGAUGCUAAUACCGCAUAACCACAGAAACCACAUGGUUUCUGUGUCAAAGAUGGUUUCGGCUAUCACUUUGGGAUGGACCCGCGGCGUAUUAGCUAGUUAGUAGGGUAAUGGCUUACCAAGGCAAUGAUACGUAGCCGAACUGAGAGGUUGAUCGGCCACAUUGGGACUGAGACACGGCCCAAACUCCUACGGGAGGCAGCAGUAGGGAAUCUUCCACAAUGGACGAAAGUCUGGUGGAGCAACGCCGCGUGAGUGAAGAAGGUUUUCGGAUCGUAAAACUCUGUUGUCAGAGAAGAACGUGUGCGAGAGUAACUGUUCGUGCAGUGACGGUAUCUGGCCAGAAAGCCACGGCUAACUACGUGCCAGCAGCCGCAGUAA